Molecule: unclassified non-coding RNA, 2163 nt
Filed under: Penaeus chinensis
Lineage: Eukaryota; Metazoa; Arthropoda; Malacostraca; Decapoda; Penaeidae
Description: voltage-dependent L-type calcium channel subunit beta-1-like, transcript variant X6
Source: RNAcentral
ACAGCCUCGAGGCUUCCCUCCCGGCACUGCUAGUGAUUAGUGUUGCGGUCCAAAGCUGUGCAAGUGUGCGCGUGGAGCUCCGUUUUGCCCAUGUGGUUUUCAGUGCUUUCAUGAAAAUCAAAUCUGACCCCUAUGAUACUAAUUAUGAGAACCAAUUCAUUUAGCCACAAAGAUCAGGAAGGUCAAAGCUAAAAGAAAGAAAAAAAAAAAAAAGCCACGCCCCCCAAAAUAGGAAAAAAGGGGGGGAAACACCAAAUCAGAAAAGCAAGUUUCCUGUGUUGUGAUUGACGACCCGGAAGUGCUUACCACCUGACCUCUCCUGACCCGGCGCUGACCUCCCGAACCGCCACCCGUCGCCACCUCCUCCGUCGACGCCUCCUCCGUAACUCGCCAGGAUGUACCGACAGGUGAAGCUCCCGAAGCCGAAGCCUCCCGCCGACUUCGCCGACUGCUUCGACAUCGACUCGCCGCAGCCGACCUUCGGGGACAACGUGGCCUCGUGGUUUAACGACGCCGUGCACCACGCUCGCAUCAAGCAGCAGGCGCGGAAAGGUUCGGCUGACUCGAACUAUUCCCAGCCGUCCUCGGACCUAUCGCUGGACGAGGAGAGAGAGAACCUACGCCGCGAGACCGAACGACAGGCGCUCUCCCAGCUUGAGAAGGCCAGGGGGCACCAUCGGGACAGCGGGGUCAGGCGCAGAACGGAGGGCCAGGCAUUCGUCACUCUUCAGGCAGCCAGGACUAAACCCGUGGCGUUCUCCGUGCGUACCAAUGUGGCCUACGAUGGUUCUCUGGAUGACGACUCGCCAGUGCAUGGGUCGGCCAUCUCUUUCGAUGUCAAGGACUUCCUCCACAUUAAGGAGAAGUAUGACAACAACUGGUGGAUUGGGCGUCUGGUGAAGGAAGGCGCAGAUGUUGGGUUCAUCCCGUCACCCGUUAAGCUCGAGAACCUGCGCCUACAGCAGACCCAACAGAAGAACUCCAAGCUCUACCCCAAAAACUCGUCAUCGGGAAUUGACCUCGACAACGGAUUAGACUCCAAUGUGGGUGACGACUCCGAUUCCCUGGGCAACGCCAAGGGGAAGAGUUCCAUCACAACCCCACCAGCCAAGGAGAAGCGGAAGCCCUUCUUUAAGAAACAGGAGAACAUUCCUCCGUACGAUGUCGUGCCUUCCAUGCGCCCGCUAGUGCUUGUUGGCCCAUCCCUCAAAGGGUAUGAGGUCACAGACAUGAUGCAGAAGGCGCUGUUUGAUUACAUUAAGCACAGAUUUGAGGGGAAGGUAAUCAUUACACGGGUGAGUGCUGAUAUCUCUCUUGCAAAACGGAGUCUCCUAAACAACCCAAACAAACGUGCUCUUAUGGAACGAUCCAACUCCAGAUCUUCUUGUAUAGCAGAAGUUCAGGCUGAAAUAGAACGAAUAUUUGAACUAGCAAGAACUCUACAGUUAGUGGUGCUCGAUUGUGACACUAUUAACCACCCCUCUCAACUUGCUAAGACAUCUCUUGCACCUAUUCUUGUAUACCUCAAGAUCUCGUCUCCUAAGGUACUGCAGCGUUUAAUAAAGUCACGGGGAAAAUCUCAGAGUCGCAACUUGAGUGUUCAGAUGGUUGCAGCAGAAAAAUUAGCCCAGUGUCCACCAGAGAUGUUUGAUGUGAUUCUUGAUGAAAAUCAGCUUGAGGACGCAUGUGAACACAUAGCAGAGUAUCUCGAUGCCUACUGGCAAGCAACGCACCCUCCGUUACCUCCACCCCAGAUUCAGAGACCAAUUCCAUCACCACAUACAAGUCCGCGGUCUAACCAUGCGCAAGGAAGUCUCAUGCGGACUAAUUCUACGCCUCCAGGUCCGCCCGGGUCCGUGGCUCGUGAGCCCGGCUACCCUCGCUAUCCGGAUGAGAGAGGUAAUGCUCCGGGAAGCAACCCAUCCCAGUAGUUAGUGUGGCCCAUCUGGCUUGGCCAUCGCUCGCCUCUUGGCGGACGUGGCCAGCCAGGGUGGCCCACCUUCCACGACAGCACCACAUCAGCUGUGUACCAUCGUGGAGGCCCAACCGGACAUGGGGGGCCGCGAGCGCUCCCGUCCCGUGACCCUAGAGACCUGCGAGACCCACGCGAUAGAGACCUACGCGAUGAUGAGUAUGGUGACAGGCUUCCCCCACAAGACCCUG